CCUACGGGCGGCAGCAGUGGGGGAUAUUGCACAAUGGGGGGAACCCUGAUGCAGCGACGCCGCGUGAGUGAAGAAGUCUUUCGGUAUGUAAAGCUCUAUCAGCAGGGAAGAAGAACGACGGUACCUGACUCAGAAGCCCUGGCUAACUACGUGCCAGCAGCCGCGGUAAUACGUAGGGGGCGAGCGUUAUCCGGAUUCACUGGGUGUAAAGGGAGCGUAGACGGCCAUGCAAGCCAGGGGUGAAUGCCCGGGGCCCAACCCCGGGACUGCCCUUGGAACGGCAGGGCUGGAGUGCGGGAGGGGCAGGCGGAAUUCCUGGUGUAGCGGUGAAAUGCGUAGAUAUCAGGAGGAACACCGGCGGCGAAGGCGGCCUGCUGGACCGCGACUGACGUUGAGGCUCGAAAGCGUGGGGAGCGAACAGGAUUAGAUACCCUGGUAGUC
RNAcentral lists this ribosomal RNA (441 nucleotides) under uncultured bacterium. Its description in RNAcentral is "partial 16S ribosomal RNA". It matches the Rfam family "Bacterial small subunit ribosomal RNA", at positions 338 to 795 of the family's 1533-position model. The record is from RNAcentral.